This 402-nucleotide ribosomal RNA is filed under the name Verrucomicrobiota bacterium. RNAcentral's name for it is "Verrucomicrobia bacterium partial 16S ribosomal RNA". It matches the Rfam family "Bacterial small subunit ribosomal RNA", at positions 355 to 776 of the family's 1533-position model. The record is from RNAcentral. Lineage: Bacteria; Pseudomonadati; Verrucomicrobiota.
UGGGGAAUUUUGCACAAUGGGGGAAACCCUGAUGCAGCGACGCCGCGUGAUUUAGAAGGCCUUCGGGUUGUAAAAAUCUUUUGUAUGGGAAGAAAAUGACAGUACCAUACGAAUAAGGACCGGCUAAUUACGUGCCAGCAGCCGCGGUAAUACGUAAGGUCCGAGCGUUGUCCGGAAUCAUUGGGCGUAAAGGGUACGUAGGCGGAUAAGCAAGUUAGAAGUGAAAUCCUAUAGCUCAACUAUAGUAAGCUUUUAAAACUGCUCAUCUUGAGGUAUGGAAGGGAAAGUGGAAUUCCUAGUGUAGCGGUGAAAUGCGCAGAUAUUAGGAGGAAUACCGGUGGCGAAGGCGACUUUCUGGCCAUAUACUGACGCUGAGGUAUGAAAGCGUGGGUAGCAAACAGG